RNAcentral lists this ribosomal RNA (261 nucleotides) under Gadus morhua (Atlantic cod). RNAcentral's name for it is "partial 16S ribosomal RNA". Lineage: Eukaryota; Metazoa; Chordata; Actinopteri; Gadiformes; Gadidae. The record is from RNAcentral.
CGUGCAGAGGCGGGGAUAAUUACAUAAGACGAGAAGACCCUAUGGAGCUUUAGACCUAAAGUAAGUCACGUUUAACAUGCUGUGAUAACAGUAAAAACUUAGUGAUAUUUACUGAAGUGUCUUUGGUUGGGGCGACCGCGGGGUAAAACACAACCCCCAUGUGGACCGGGGAUAUUAUCCCUAAUACUCAGAGCCUCUACUCCAAGUAACAGAAAUUCUGACUUUUCUGAUCCGGUAUAACCGAUCAACGAACCGAGUUAC